Ictalurus punctatus (channel catfish) is the source of this 3697-nucleotide long non-coding RNA. The record is from Ensembl. NCBI's taxonomy places the organism in Eukaryota, Metazoa, Chordata, Actinopteri, Siluriformes, Ictaluridae.
AUAGUUUUCACUUUUUUUUUUUUUUAAAUGUUCUGAACUGUAACGUAGCAUUAGAAAUACCUUCGUUCGUAGACCUUAAGUUGCGUGUCACGCGCAACUCUAAAGAAACCCUUGAUGCCGUUCGCCACGACGCUCCUGGCGACCUUUGAACCUUUUAGUCUGAGGCAUUAUGAACCUGAAAUACACCAGCUGAAAUCGAGGACAGUGCCUUUACUUUUUUCUAUCGCGUCAUCCCGAAUGACCACGCGUCACUAAAAUACGAACACAAGGUCGUAGGACCCCGCCAAUCAACAGAUCCAGCAGUGCCACUGACCGGACGUGUGUUUCAGGCUGAAGGAAACGCACGCAGAUCUUUAAAACAAAGAGACGGAUGAAUCAAUCAAUCGCCCGGACGCACGGAUUUAAACCAAACAAAACCUGGCCAAGUCGGUCGCGAAGCAGAAACGUGUACCGUAUUAUACCCCCGUGGUGUUUUCUCGCAAAUUUCCGCCCAUUCUGAGUAGCGACGUUGUUGACGUUUAUAUAAACGAACUCCUCUGCGAAGUCCUCGCGAUCGAAGCGGUCGUAAAUCCGUCGACGCGAGUUCUCGCCGAUCUUUAAUCGUCAGACGAUCCCGCCCGUCGGAACUCUCCCCACGUCGGAAUUUCCGCAUUCGGAUGGAUUCCGCUUUCGGUUUCAUACCGCGACAUUUUCUAACAAAAAGAAGAAGAAAAAAAAAGAAAGAAAGGUAGGAAUGUUAACUCCGCCCCCUCGCUGCAAAUUGAAUCGCGAAGACGAUCUCACGAUUGAUUAUCUCACGCGAUCGCGAGACUGUCGGGAUUUUUUUUUAAUUAUUUUUUUUCUUCAUUUCUCUCUCUCUCGAAAAAAAAAAUAAAUAAAAAAUUUGCCAGAACUUACGCGAGAAACGGCGAACGCUGGAUUUUGUAUUUUUCUACUGCGGGCACAUGGAACGAAGGUGUGAGAAAGCGUACAAAGUCUAACCGUAUCCUUCGUAACUUGUCAUUCGUACCGUUUACUUUGUGGAAAUUGUAACGAAAUAGCAAUCAGAAGACCAUGAUGUGUAUGUAUAUAUAUAUAUAUGUAUAUAUAUACACGUUUCAUGGGGAAGAUGCACUCGAUGUAAAUCUACUCGCGUACGGAAACACGUACUGACAAAUUACGUAAAAUUGCUCCAUUGCCUUAAAGACACUGUUCUUGCGUAAUAACCGCCCGCUCUUUUUUUAUCUGACUGUAAACACAUCGCCUUGCCAUCGACUUGACCCCACUGGUUAAACCGAGAGAUUCUCCCAAGGCUCCCAUUGGCUCAGAGGACGAUGAUUGACAGUUCUGGCACUGAACAGUAACACAUAGUGGGCUUUUACUGGUAUGGUUCCUGCCCUUCCCGUCAGCCCCUUCAAACUCGUACUGUACACACAUGUAGUCCUUUUGUCCUCUGGCGGGUCGCGAACAUGCCACCCCUCCCCACGGGGACAUGUUAAACCUGCUGCGCCAUCAAAACCUGACAUCCACGUUCUCUCUUUUCUCCACCUCUCUUUUUCUCGAGCACUAAUCUCAUCACUUCCUAACCCGCUUCUUUAGGAUUAAACCUAUUACAACUAUUGGAUUGGUGGAAAAUCUUUCCCAUUAUUACCGAAGAGAGAAAAGGAUUUUAGAACAAGAUAAUAAUUUCUUUCAGAGUGUCGAUGGAAAAGGGAAAAAUCUCCUUCCUGGUUUUAAAUUUAAAGCUACACUUUUGAGCGCAGCGAUACUUAUAAAUUAACAUCUUCGCUUCUGCAAAAGAUUUAUUUCCGGAUUAUAUACAUCGCCGUUUUUUCCGUUUCUUUUCCCCACGGUACUCAACUCGUACUCGACGAGAGCGAUGCGGCGGCGCUUUAGUACUUUAGCCUGUUCUGUACGCACUGCUCAAUCGGAUCAGCUCUCAAAGCUCCGACCACCACGCUAGAGUCACCGACGAUGAAGAUCGCCGGCUAGCCGAGCAGCGCAACUGCGUCGUAGUGCUGCAUUGCAUCCUGGGACGUCGAGUCCAACGUUCGCACCACGACUUCUACGCUGGAUUUUUUUAUUUUAUUUAUUUAUUUAUUUUUAUUAACACGCCGUGGAACGUUGCUGGAAAUUGAUGCGUAAGAAAAGAAGUUUUUUCUCGUUUGUUUUUAAGCGCUAACAGCGAAAUAUCCGAUCGGACGCCGUUACGAUAACAGUGUGAUGUCAGAGCGGCGUACGAACGCCGACUUCCCACCACAAAAGAUUUCAAUAUUGACAUACGUGACGUCUUUCAGGGUGGAGUUUAACCGUUUAAACCGUUCACCAUCUAUAAACUAGCAGUUAUAUCGCUGGACAUCAACACCUCCUCAGCGCUAGAUCCUAAAUAUAGUUGGUGUUUAUGAGUCCCAUGUUGGACUAAGACUAAUCGUGGUUGUUUAGAUCGGUUUCGUCUCGAUAGGUUUGGUUUGCUUACUCAGUUAGAUUAACACCUCUUGAACUUGGCUAAUCAAAACAGGGUAGCGUGGAACCGAUUUCCUGUUGGUUAGUGCGUGAAAAUAACCCCAAAUACACGACGUUCACCAAGAGUCUAACGGUAUCCCAUGAUUCAGUGCAGCCAUCCAAAAAAAAUAACAAAAAAAAAAAAAAAAAAAAAGAGGGCUUGGGUUUUUCAAAUAAAUAAACAAGAACAGCCUUUUUAAAAAUCUUAACUAAAUAACUUUUACCUAGUAUACCAAUUUCACACCGCCGCUAGUCAACGUCUAGACGAAACAAGCAGACUAAAAUCGACCUUAUCGUGGCCUUCUGUGUACAAUCCGAUAAUUCCGUCUGUAAUUAUUCCCUAAAUAGACCUUCCCCCUUUCCUGUGGGGUUGAUACGAUUUUUUAACCGAUUUUUUUUUUUUUUUUAAAUAAAUAAAUUGAAUUUAAAAAAAAAAAAAAAAAAAAAAAAAAAAAAAAAAAAAAGAUUCAAUGUUAGGAAACGUGGUGAUGGUCUGAAAAUGCUCCGAAACAUGGCUCAAAACAAGAAGAAGAAGAAAAAAAAACACACACCACGCACUCAGUGUAGAAACAUAUCUGUAGCGUCCACCAAAGCUAGAGAUACCCAUUCAAAAAAAAACAACAAAAAAAUAAAGAAAAGAAAAGAAAAAACGACAUACCAUCAGAAUCCGGAGGAAUUUGAAACUACGAAUCGCUUCUUUAAGAAAUGUGUAUGUUUUUUAUUGAAUUUUCUAGUAGUUACGAACAAUGUUUUUUUCUCUUCUGUUCCUCUGCGUGCUGUGUGUCGUCUUGAUAUUUGAAUGUAUUUACUGCGGUACAAAAUUUGCCAAAGAUACCAUACCACUUGUUUCCAGUUUUCAGCAUUUUUGAUUUUGAUUUCUUUAUGUUUUAUACCGUAUACGUUUUCAAGUCAGCCCACGGACUGGAAAUAAUUGUUACAGAUAAUACGUUUUGGUGUUUGUUUUUUUUUCUUCUUUUUUUUUUAAAAAAAAAAAAUAAUAAAAAAUAAUAAUAAUCAUUUUGGUAUUGCUAAUGUUAUGAUUGGAAUUAUUCAAUGCUUCAGGGUUAUUUUAUGUUUGAAGUGUCAAUUUGAAUUAUCUGGCAUUCGUCCUGACCCCUGAAAUCAGUCCAGGGUAAAUAGGCUACUAAGUGUACGUGCAGACGAGUGAGUGUUGUUUGUGCAUUAUUGAUUUAUGUACCUGUAAUGUGAAAUGAAG